RNAcentral lists this ribosomal RNA (491 nucleotides) under uncultured bacterium. Its description in RNAcentral is "partial 16S ribosomal RNA". It matches the Rfam family "Bacterial small subunit ribosomal RNA", at positions 29 to 507 of the family's 1533-position model. The record is from RNAcentral.
AGUGAGCGCUGGCGGUAGGCCUAACACAUGCAAGUCGAACGGCAGCACAGUAAGAGCUUGCUCUUACGGGUGGCGAGUGGCGGACGGGUGAGGAAUACAUCGGAAUCUACUUUUUCGUGGGGGAUAACGUAGGGAAACUUACGCUAAUACCGCAUACGACCUACGGGUGAAAGCAGGGGAUCUUCGGACCUUGCGCGAUUGAAUGAGCCGAUGUCGGAUUAGCUAGUUGGCGGGGUAAGGGCCCACCAAGGCGACGAUCCGUAGCUGGUCUGAGAGGAUGAUCAGCCACACUGGAACUGAGACACGGUCCAGACUCCUACGGGAGGCAGCAGUGGGGAAUAUUGGACAAUGGCGCAAGCCUGAUCCAGCCAUACCGCGUGGGUGAAGAAGGCCUUCGGGUUGUAAAGCCCUUUUGUUGGGAAAGAAAAGCAGCAGGUUAAUACCCCGCUGUUCUGACGGUACCCAAAGAAUAAGCACCGGCUAACUUCGUG